This 773-nucleotide ribosomal RNA is filed under the name uncultured bacterium. RNAcentral describes it as "bacterial SSU rRNA". It matches the Rfam family "Bacterial small subunit ribosomal RNA", at positions 65 to 845 of the family's 1533-position model. The record is from RNAcentral.
UAUUGACAGAACUCUUCGGAGGGAAGAUGAUAAGUCUUAGUGGCGGACGGGUGAGUAAUGCAUGAGCAACUUGCCUUUCAGAGGGGGAUAACACAUCGAAAGGUGUGCUAAUACCGCAUGAAAUGACGGGAUCGCAUGAUCCUGUUAUCAAAGGAGCAAUCCGCUGAAAGAUGGGCUCAUGUCUGAUUAGAUAGUUGGUGAGGUAACGGCUCACCAAGUCGACGAUCAGUAGCCGGACUGAGAGGUUGAACGGCCACAUUGGAACUGAGAGACGGUCCAGACUCCUACGGGAGGCAGCAGUGGGGAAUAUUGGGCAAUGGGCGCAAGCCUGACCCAGCAACGCCGCGUGAAGGAAGAAGGUCUUCGGAUUGUAAACUUUUGUCUUAUGGGACGAUAAUGACGGUACCAUAGGAGGAAGUCACGACUAACUACGUGCCAGCAGUCGCGGUAAUACGUAGGUGGCAAGCGUUAUCCGGAAUUAUUGGGUGUAAAGGGUGCGUAGGCGGGAUGUAAAGUCAGAUGUGAAAUGCCGCAGCUUAACUGCGGAGCUGCAUUUGAAACUUAUGUUCUUGAGUGAAGUAGAGGCAAGCGGAAUUCCUAGUGUAGCGGUGGAAUGCGUAGAUAUUAGGAGGAACACCGGUGGCGAAGGCGGCUUGCUGGGCUUUUACUGACGCUGAGGCACGAAAGUGUGGGGAGCAAACAGGAUUAGAUACCCUGGUAGUCCACACCGUAAACGAUGAUUACUAGGUGUAGGUCGGCUGAACCGAUCUGUG